Molecule: ribosomal RNA, 429 nt
Filed under: Bacteroidota bacterium
Lineage: Bacteria; Pseudomonadati; Bacteroidota
Description: Bacteroidetes bacterium partial 16S ribosomal RNA
Rfam family: Bacterial small subunit ribosomal RNA
Source: RNAcentral
UAGGGAAUCUUCCGCAAUGGACGCAAGUCUGACGGAGCAACGCCGCGUGAGUGAAGAAGGAUUUCGGUUCGUAAAACUCUGUUGUUAGAGAAGAACAGCGCAUAGAGUAACUGUUAUGCGUGUAACGGUAUCUAACCAGAAAGCCACGGCUAACUACGUGCCAGCAGCCGCGGUAAUACGUAGGUGGCAAGCGUUGUCCGGAUUUAUUGGGCGUAAAGCGAGCGCAGGCGGUCAAUUAAGUCUGAUGUGAAAGCCCCCGGCUCAACCGGGGAGGGUCAUUGGAAACUGGUUGACUUGAGUGCAGAAGAGGAGAGUGGAAUUCCAUGUGUAGCGGUGAAAUGCGUAGAUAUAUGGAGGAACACCAGUGGCGAAGGCGACUCUCUGGUCUGUAACUGACGCUGAGGUUCGAAAGCGUGGGUAGCAAACAGG